CCAUGGGAGAGUGGAUCAUUGGAGCUUUCAUCAAUCUCUUUGGCAGCAUUGCCAUCAACUUUGGGACUAACCUUCUUAAAUUGGGUCAUACUGAGAGAGAGAGGCAUUCUACGCUAGACAUUGAUGGAACAAGUGGGAAGAGUCAUUUGAAGCCUAUCAUAUACUUUCAAACUUGGAGAGUUGGUAUUCUUUUUUUCUUUCUUGGAAAUUGCCUUAAUUUCAUUUCAUUUGGAUAUGCUGCUCAGUCACUUCUUGCCGCCUUGGGAUCAGUUCAGUUUGUAUCCAACAUUGCAUUUGCCUAUUUUGUGCUGAACAAAUUGGUGACUGUUAAAGUCCUUGUAGCUACAGCCUUUAUUGUUCUGGGGAACGUUUUUCUUGUUUCCUUUGGCAACCACCAGUCUCCUGUGUACACACCAGAGCAAUUGGCGGAGAAAUACAGCAACAUGACUUUCCUUUUUUACUGUAUGAUUUUGGUCUUAGUUGUUGCCUUGCAUCAUUACAUUUACAGGAGAGGAGAACUUUUGAUUGCUGUUUCUGGACAAGACCUUAGACCUUAUUGGCAGAUGCUUCUUCCUUUUUCAUACGCUGUGGUUUCUGGUGCAGUGGGAUCAUACUCAGUGCUGUUUGCAAAAUCUCUGUCUAACUUGCUAAGAUUGGCCAUGUCUAAUGGUUAUCAGUUACACAGUUGGUUCACUUACUCCAUGCUUCUUUUAUUUUUCAGUACAGCUGGAUUUUGGAUGACAAGAUUGAACGAAGGAUUGUCACUUUUUGAUGCAAUCCUUAUUGUUCCGAUGUUUCAGAUUGUUUGGACUUUCUUCUCUAUUUGUACUGGAUUUGUCUACUUUCAGGAAUAUCAGGUAUUUGAUGCACUGAGGACAACAAUGUUCAUACUGGGGAUGAUGAGUGUCUUCAUUGGCAUUUCUUUGCUGGCACCUGAUGAGUCAAGAGGUAUUUGAUAGGUUACUAGUGUUUGUUCAAAAUGUAAUUCCACAAAGGACAAAAAGUUCAACUUAUUUUGAAAAUUUUCAGGUGCUGAGGUCAAAGAUAAUGCAUCUUUAGUUUCAAUUGUGUCUUCAAGUGUUUCAAGCGAAUCAGACAGGUAUUAUAUAUUUAUUGAAAUCAAUUUUCUCAGAAAUUGGUGAAGACAUUGAAGUUUGGGAUCACCCAUUUCAUUUCUGAUUUGUGAUAGAGAUAGAUUGGGAUCUUCUGAAGUUCAUAUGAACAUGUUUUAUCAUGUUCAUUUAAUUCUAGCCUUUAUUUGAAAAUGCAUGGUCAGGAUUUAUAUCACAAUCACUCCCUUGAAGACAGGCAAAACAUUACCCAUGUAAAACUGCCUGCAUGAACAUUCAUUUUCAAUCUAAGGGAUAGGAUAGGAUUGAUGGAACAUAACAAGUGAGAUUAAUAGUAACUUGAGAGGAUUUUAGUAUGUAACAGACUCAAGGGUAAUUGUAAAGCUGAUAAAUGAGUAUUAUUUUGUGCUUGUAUUUUUUGACCUUCAGUUUAGAGUCUUUUUAAGUUCUUGAAUUGUUGCUUUUGCUUCUGUUUUUUGGAUUUUGCAAAAAACAACGGCAUUAAAGUUGAAAGUUCAAUAUUGUGGCAUACAUGACAACUUAUUACCAAAUGCUGUUAUAUGGAAUUAGUUCUUUUUUAGAAUAUGUAUUUGUAAUUGUGCCUUAUUAGAUUUGUAUUUUUUCUGUGGAUUUCACCAGUUUUUGUCAUAUGUAUAGGCUGAUCAAACCAGUUGAAGAUGCACAAAAUAAAGACCCAAGAUCAUUUGUACAAGGAAUAGCAGUGAAGGUCACAGAAAUGCUAAACAAGGCAAAGACUGCUUGUUCUUUAUCACUAGGUUUUGGAGAGGACUCCAUCAAUGCAUCUGCAGUUCUUGUUAUGCCCAUGGUUUCAUCAAAGAUAACAGGUUUCAGGGGAAGUGUGUUCGACCGGCCUAAGGUUUUCUCCUUGAGAAAUUCGGGUUGGAGUAAGAUUUCAAUGGAAGAAGAUGGUGUAAAAGUGCUAGACUCAAACCCAGUGCUUCCUCAAACCCUUUGACAGAAGUGGCAACAAUGAAUAUCGCAAGUUUGCCAUGAGGAUUUUUCCUUUUUUCACUUUAAAUUGUCUCUGUUUAUAGCAUUACAAUUGUUUAGUAUCAACUGAAAUGUGCUACAUCUCAAGCAUUCUUGUAUUUUUGAAACAGCAGCAUAUUGUAUAUUCUUU
This 2211-nucleotide unclassified non-coding RNA is filed under the name Hevea brasiliensis (rubber tree). The record is from RNAcentral. Lineage: Eukaryota; Viridiplantae; Streptophyta; Magnoliopsida; Malpighiales; Euphorbiaceae.